This 72-nucleotide transfer RNA is filed under the name Camelus bactrianus (Bactrian camel). It matches the Rfam family "tRNA". From Rfam's summary of the family: Transfer RNA (tRNA) molecules are approximately 80 nucleotides in length. Their secondary structure includes four short double-helical elements and three loops (D, anti-codon, and T loops). Further hydrogen bonds mediate the characteristic L-shaped molecular structure. tRNAs have two regions of fundamental functional importance: the anti-codon, which is responsible for specific mRNA codon recognition, and the 3' end, to which the tRNAs corresponding amino acid is attached (by aminoacyl-tRNA synthetases). tRNAs cope with the degeneracy of the genetic code in two manners: having more than one tRNA (with a specific anti-codon) for a particular amino acid; and 'wobble' base-pairing, i.e. permitting non-standard base-pairing at the 3rd anti-codon position. The record is from Rfam by way of RNAcentral. RNAcentral also lists the same sequence under 1 other name. Lineage: Eukaryota; Metazoa; Chordata; Mammalia; Artiodactyla; Camelidae.
GAGUAUAGCUCAAGUGGUAGAGCACAUGCUUAGCAUGCAUGAGUUUCCUGGGUUCAAUCCCCAGUAAAAUCA